RNAcentral lists this ribosomal RNA (505 nucleotides) under uncultured bacterium. RNAcentral describes it as "bacterial SSU rRNA". It matches the Rfam family "Bacterial small subunit ribosomal RNA", at positions 26 to 518 of the family's 1533-position model. The record is from RNAcentral.
CUAGGAUGAACGCUGGCGGCGUGCCUAACACAUGCAAGGUCGAACGGGACUGUUAGUGACGAUUUCGGUCUGAACUUUACAGUUAGUGGCGGACGGGUGAGUAACGCGUGGAUAACCUGCCUUCGACAGGGGGAUAGCAGCUGGAAACGGCUGGUAAUACCGCAUACGCUCAUGUCACCGCAUGGUGAUGUGAGGAAAGAUUUAUCGGUGAAAAGAUGGAUCCGCGUCUGAUUAGCCAGUUGGCGGGGUAACGGCCCACCAAAGCGACGAUCAGUAGCCGGCCUGAGAGGGCGGACGGCCACAUUGGGACUGAGACACGGCCCAGACUCCUACGGGAGGCAGCAGUGGGGAUAUUGCACAAUGGGCACAAGCCUGAUGCAGCGACGCCCGCGUGAGUGAAGAAGUAUUUCGGUAUGUAAAGCUCUAUCAGCAGGGAAGAAAGACCCGCAAGGGGGAUGACGGUACCUGACUAAGAAGCCCCGGCUAACUACGUGCCAGCCGCCGC